GUGUAUGUAUAUAGAUAGUAUGGUUGUAUACACACAUAUAUACCAAACACCAUGAAUUUUAGCAGUCUGUGAUGAUCAGCAAAAAAGCACAUAAAGUAAAAAUUAGUUGACCAUGCUAAAUUCAAUUCUGGAAGAUUUUUUUAUUUGGGCAUUUCUAAAACUUUUUACAUUUGAAAGUACAUGAUGAGUAUUAGUAAUGAUAACUUAUGUAUAAUGAGAAUCUUUAUGAUAAUUUAGUUUUACAAGGUCAGAAGAGAUGAGUUUGCUAAACCCAGCUGUGAUACCUCAGUUGGAAAGGGAAUUCAAAGGUAUGCUUUGUAGAAGAGAAAAGUACAGGUUUUUUUUCAUGAACUUUAAUCCUUUUCUGUUUUUCCUCUAUGUGAGUCAGCUACAAAAGUGGUCUAAUUUUUAUAACAGUAGAACUUCCUCCUUUUCUACUCUAAUCUUCCCACUGACUUUACUGCACAGGUGUGAAAUACUAGUGUAUUGGAUCUUCAGUAACCUUUUUAUUUCCUAGAUGAUUGAAAUAUAGGUAUUUACUCCAUUUAAACCAGGUGAUAAGAUGAUGUAAAUACUCAGGGAGGGUAUUAACUUGUUACUUUUGCUUGUAUGGGGUGUAAAGUGCCAUGACUGAAUAAUCUUCAAUUCAUGAUUCUAGAAUAAGUUUAAUUUGGAAAAAGGGGCUUCACACAUGGUGGUGGUUGAACAUUGAUUCUUUUAUAUUUAAAAAGAUGAAAAUGUUUUGUGGACUGAUACAUUUUAUCUUAGUGAAUAUGAAUUGUUUAUGUAUCUCUACUGUCAAAUAGCCUUUUUGAAACUCAGGAAAGACAAAGGUUCAAUUACACCACUUUUGUCAAUAAGCAAACCAGGUAUUUUUUUUUUUUCCUGUUGUCUAGAUAUGGCAAUAGAUUUUUUAAAUUGCUGUGAGAACCCAUAUAUGAAAAGAGAGGAGUUGAAUUGUGUGUGCCUUUUAUGUCUUGAGAUUUAUAUGUGGAAAAGACGACAUCUACUUCAAACUGUAUUUUCUUUUUUGUUUUUUUGUUUUUUGUGGGAGGACGGGGUCUUGCUCUGUCACCCAGGCUGGAGUGCAGUGGCGUGAUCUCAGCUGACUGCAACCUCCACCUCCCAGGUUCAAGGGAUUCUGCCUCAGCCUCCCAAGUAGCUGAGACCACAGGUGCGUGCCACCACACCCGGCUAAUUUUUUUGUAUUUUUAGUAGAGACGGGGUUUAGUAGAGACAGAUCACUCCUGACCACGUGAUCCACCCACCUCGGCCUCCCAAAGUGCUGGGAUUACAGGCGUGAGCCACCACACCCGGCCUGUAUUUUCAGAGAGGAGAGCUUGGUGUUUAUGUGGUGCCAAGUGGUAAGAUAAUGUCUCUUCGAGGCUUCCUAUGGACUGCCUUUAUUUUAGUAAACUCAAGACACCAGUUAACCUCAACAGAGUUUUGGCCUUAUUAGAAUUUGUUGUGCAUCUUAUUGAAAGCCAGGUUUACAUCACUUCACCCCAUUAUUUUUUUUAGUUAAAUAAAUUCACCAUGCCAAGUAACCAGAAUGGAGCAAAUUGGUUGAUCUUUAAGGCAGUAGGUUUGACUAGCUAGCUAUCAUUAUUGUCACAUCUAAUGCUAGGCACCAGGAGCCAUUUGAGCCAGGGGUGUGAAUGAAUAAUUCCAGAGACACUUCAGACAUUUUUUAAUGUUUUAUAUGAACAUUUUACAUUUGUGUGAUUGCCUUAGAUAUUAAAUUUUCCUAGUGCUGAAAGUUAUCAUCAUAAAUAAAUUUUUUAAAAACAGCAACAAUCAUAACUUAUUUUAUAUAUUGUUCCAAAGAAAAUAAUUUGUUUUAAUGGUUUCAAAAUAACUGCACCUGAAUUUGUUUAUGUGCCUUAAGUUCUCUAGUGCUAUUUCAACUUUUUUUUCAAUCUAAAUGAAGCUUACCUUAGAUAAGGUUCAUAUUUGUUUCCUAUAGAGUAAAUAAACUCCCCCUUCUUAAAUUGUGUAAUAAGCACCAACGUGUGGUUGCUUGGCAGAAUGAGAAUGUUAAGGGAGAUUGUUGGAUGUUUGGAGUUUCAUUAUAUUUUUUGUUUUUAUUUUUUGAUACCUAGGUGCUUUUUAAAAUAUUCAGACAAAUAUUUAUCUUACAUUGAUUAAACCCAUGUAAAUUCAUUUGCAGUAUCUACAUCGAAUGUCAGAAAAGUAUACUUAUUUUUGUUCCAUACUUAACGUACAAUUUUUUCCCUCUUCAGGCUUUUUCAUUUAACUUUCUUGAAAAAGCACUUACUCUCCCCUUCCCUAUUACCCCUCCCCCAAGGUUUCUUUAUUUAAAUUUUUGUUGAGAGUUGUUGGAGCUCUAAGACAAUACAAUUUUGGAGUUGAACAAAAGUAUAAUCUGCUUUACAACUAGUAUAGACCUAAGGUCAUUUGCUUUCAAUUAGAGGCUCCAGAGUCUUCAUAGUAGAAAGAAUGCUUUGUAUUUAAUUGUUCUUAGUUAAGUUGUAGCACGUGAAUACUUACUUACAUGUUUUGUUUAAAUAUACUUCUUGCAUAGUUUAAUUUUUUAAAAGUUGUAUCUAAUAAAAUGUCUUUUAACCAUUGUUACUUGACUAUAUGGUUGUAUUAAAUUUUGUUU
Long non-coding RNA from Pongo abelii (Sumatran orangutan), 2626 nucleotides. The record is from Ensembl. NCBI's taxonomy places the organism in Eukaryota, Metazoa, Chordata, Mammalia, Primates, Hominidae.